RNAcentral lists this non-coding RNA (30 nucleotides) under Homo sapiens (human). Lineage: Eukaryota; Metazoa; Chordata; Mammalia; Primates; Hominidae. The record is from RNAcentral.
UUGUUGUGGGGCCACCCUGUGCAUGGUAGA